Helianthus annuus (common sunflower) is the source of this 443-nucleotide long non-coding RNA. RefSeq lists it as uncharacterized. Lineage: Eukaryota; Viridiplantae; Streptophyta; Magnoliopsida; Asterales; Asteraceae. The record is from RefSeq and is a predicted model, not a curated record. The transcript has 2 exons.
UAUACCCAUGGCAUGCUAAAGGAUCUUCAAGACCAGUAUUGAGAAAGAUUUUAGCAGUGUAAUAUACAGCAAAAUGGAGUAAACGGUCACAUAUGUUCAUUGAAUCAGCAUUUUAAUAACAAUCAAAGUCUCAAGUGAUCUUGUUGAAAUGGAAAAUUCUUCUUCAAAUCCCAGUAAUCCUACAUCAGCUUCAUCUCAGGUUAAUUUGCUUGCUUGGAAAUUUGAUUAACAAGCAUGUAGAAGAGCUAUUAUUGAGAUGAUAAUAAUGGAUGAACUCCCGGUUAAGUUUGUUAAGUAUAAGGGUUUUCGAAAUUGCAUGAAAAUUAUUCAACCUUUACUUGCGGUUCCAUCUUGGUCUACAAUCACUUAAGAUUGUUAUGAGAUGUAUCUUUAUGUAAAGAACAAACUUAGGGCUAAAAUUAAAAGGGAUGCACUUAGACUUU